GCUGCCCUCUUCCCACCCUGACCUCCCGCCCUGCCCGUAGGACCACCCCCUACUCCCCUACUUACCCCCGCUACCACCCCCACCCCCUGAGCGCAUGACCUUACGCUAUCAUCCCCCGCCGCGGCCACUAUCCCACCAACCGAUAUGGGGUACAAUGGCACACACACGCAAUAUAACGAAAAACGCAAAUGUAGCAAACUAGAUAACAACUAACUCGAUAUGCUAUCUAAAAUACGAAAACGAUACGUAAAAAGAUGCACAAUGUAAACAAGGGAG
This 276-nucleotide long non-coding RNA is filed under the name Nicotiana benthamiana. RNAcentral describes it as "long non-coding RNA (NBEN_LNC040828)". The record is from RNAcentral. Lineage: Eukaryota; Viridiplantae; Streptophyta; Magnoliopsida; Solanales; Solanaceae.